GACGAACGCUGGCGGCGUGCUUAACACAUGCAAGUCGAACGGAAAGGCCCUGCUUUUGUGGGGUGCUCGAGUGGCGAACGGGUGAGUAACACGUGAGUAACCUGCCCUUGACUUUGGGAUAACUUCAGGAAACUGGGGCUAAUACCGGAUAGGAGCUCCUGCUGCAUGGUGGGGGUUGGAAAGUUUCGGCGGUUGGGGAUGGACUCGCGGCUUAUCAGCUUGUUGGUGGGGUAGUGGCUUACCAAGGCUUUGACGAGUAGCCGGCCUGAGAGGGUGACCGGCCACAUUGGGACUGAGAUACGGCCCAGACUCCUACGGGAGGCAGCAGUGGGGAAUAUUGCACAAUGGGCGGAAGCCUGAUGCAGCAACGCCGCGUGCGGGAUGACGGCCUUCGGGUUGUAAACCGCUUUCGCCUGUGACGAAGCGUGAGUGACGGUAAUGGGUAAAGAAGCACCGGCUAACUACGUGCCAGCAGCCGCGGUGAUACGUAGGGUGCGAGCGUUGUCCGGAUUUAUUGGGCGUAAAGGGCUCGUAGGUGGUUGAUCGCGUCGGAAGUGUAAUCUUGGGGCUUAACCCUGAGCGUGCUUUCGAUACGGGUUGACUUGAGGAAGGUAGGGGAGAAUGGAAUUCCUGGUGGAGCGGUGGAAUGCGCAGAUAUCAGGAGGAACACCAGUGGCGAAGGCGGUUCUCUGGGCCUUUCCUGACGCUGAGGAGCGAAAGCGUGGGGAGCGAACAGGCUUAGAUACCCUGGUAGUCCACGCUGUAAACGGUGGGUACUAGGUGUGGGGUCCAUUCCACGGGUUCCGUGCCGUAGCUAACGCUUUAAGUACCCCGCCUGGGGAGUACGGCCGCAAGGCUAAAACUCAAAGGAAUUGACGGGGCCCCGCACAAGCGGCGGAGCAUGCGGAUUAAUUCGAUGCAACGCGUAGAACCUUACCUGGGUUUGACAUGGAUCGGGAGCGCUCAGAGAUGGGUGUGCCUCUUUUGGGGUCGGUUCACAGGUGGUGCAUGGCUGUCGUCAGCUCGUGUCGUGAGAUGCUGGGUUAAGUCCCGCAACGAGCGCAACCCUUGUUCACUGUUGCCAGCACGUUAUGGUGGGGACUCAGUGGAGACCGCCGGGGUCAACUCGGAGGAAGGUGGGGAUGACGUCAAGUCAUCAUGCCCCUUAUGUCCAGGGCUUCACGCAUGCUACAAUGGCUGGUACAGAGAGUGGCGAGCCUGUGAGGGUGAGCGAAUCUCGGAAAGCCGGUCUCAGUUCGGAUUGGGGUCUGCAACUCGACCUCAUGAAGUCGGAGUCGCUAGUAAUCGCAGAUCAGCAACGCUGCGGUGAAUACGUUCCCGGGGCU
Molecule: ribosomal RNA, 1346 nt
Filed under: uncultured bacterium
Lineage: Bacteria
Description: bacterial SSU rRNA
Rfam family: Bacterial small subunit ribosomal RNA
Source: RNAcentral